RNAcentral lists this ribosomal RNA (774 nucleotides) under uncultured Neocallimastigales. Its description in RNAcentral is "partial large subunit ribosomal RNA". It matches the Rfam family "Eukaryotic large subunit ribosomal RNA", at positions 24 to 616 of the family's 3401-position model. The record is from RNAcentral. Lineage: Eukaryota; Fungi; Neocallimastigomycota; Neocallimastigomycetes; Neocallimastigales.
UACGACUACAUAUCAGGCAUAUCAAUAAGCGGAGGAAAAGAAACUAACUAGGAUUCCCUUAGUAACGGCGAGUGAAGCGGGAAGAGCUCAAAUUUGAAAUCUUCAAGGUUUUACCUUGACGAAUUGUAGUUUAAAGAAGUGUUUUCUGUUGAAGUUUUGGUAAAAGUUCUUUGGAAUAGGACAUCAUAGAGGGUGAGAAUCCCGUAUUUGACCAUUAUUUUCAGCUGUGUGAUACACUUUCAAAGAGUCGGAUUGUUUGGGAAUGCAGUCCAAAAUGGGUGGUAAAUUUCAUCUAAAGCUAAAUAUUGGCGAGAGACCGAUAGCGAACAAGUACCGUGAGGGAAAGAUGAAAAGAACUUUGAAAAGAGAGUUAAACAGUACGUGAAAUUGUCAAAAGGGAAGCGUUUGACACCAGUGUUGUUUUCUCGAAAAUCAAUUAAAAAUAGUUGGAUUUUGUGUUGUAUUGACCUUAACAGCUUGCUUCACUCUUUUCCAGCUUUUUUUAAUGCACUUUUCGUUUAACAAGUCAACAUCAGUUUCUUUUGUUGUAAAAGGGUCAUUGGAAGGUGGCUUUCUCUUCGGAGAAAGUGUUUAUAGCCUUUGAUCUCUGCAAUCGGAGAGACUGAGGUCUGCAGCGUAGAUCCUUCUGGAUUAGAUACAUUUGUGCUAAGCUACAGCUUUUCAUAGACAACUUGUUGACUAUGCUUAGUCUUGCAACUUACCCGCUUAUGCUAUUUUACCUACGCUUAGGAUGUUGAGCGCAUGUCUCUCUCU